This 250-nucleotide ribosomal RNA is filed under the name uncultured prokaryote. RNAcentral's name for it is "partial 16S ribosomal RNA". It matches the Rfam family "Bacterial small subunit ribosomal RNA", at positions 524 to 773 of the family's 1533-position model. The record is from RNAcentral.
UACGUAGGGGGCAAGCGUUAUCCGGAUUUACUGGGUGUAAAGGGAGCGCAGACGGAAGUGCAAGUCAGAAGUGAAAGCCCGCGGCCCAACUGCGGGACUGCUUUUGAAACUGUAGUUCUAGAGUGCUGGAGGGGCAGGCGGAAUUCCUGGUGUAGCGGUGAAAUGCGUAGAUAUCAGGAGGAACACCGGUGGCGAAGGCGGCCUGCUGGACAGUAACUGACGUUGAGGCUCGAAAGCGUGGGGAGCAAAC